Molecule: ribosomal RNA, 756 nt
Filed under: uncultured bacterium
Lineage: Bacteria
Description: bacterial SSU rRNA
Rfam family: Bacterial small subunit ribosomal RNA
Source: RNAcentral
AGAGUUUGAUCAUGGCUCAGAAUCAACGCUGGCGGCGCGCUUAACACAUGCAAGUCGAACGGGAAAGUGGAGCAAUCCAUGAGUACAGUGGCGUACGGGUGAGUAACACGUGGGUAAUCUACCUCUUAGUGGGGAAUAACCCUGGGAAACCGGGGCUAAUACCGCAUAAGCCUGAGAAGGGAAAGCAGCAAUGCGCUGAGAGAGGAGCCCGCGGCCGAUUAGCUAGUUGGUAGGGUAAAGGCCUACCAAGGCAGAGAUCGGUAGCCGGCCUGAGAGGGCACACGGCCACACUGGCACUGAAACACGGGCCAGACUCCUACGGGAGGCAGCAGUGGGGAAUCUUGCACAAUGGGGGCAACCCUGAUGCAGCGACGCCGCGUGAGCGAUGAAGCCCUUCGGGGUGUAAAGCUCUUUCGUCAGGGAAGAUAAUGACGGUACCUGGAGAAGCAGCUGCGGCUAACUACGUGCCAGCAGCCGCGGUAAUACGUAGGCAGCGAGCGUUGUUCGGAGUUACUGGGCGUAAAGGGUGUGUAGGCGGUUCUUUAAGUUUGGUGUGAAAUCUCCCGGCUCAACCGGGAGGGUGCGCCGAAUACUGAGGGACUAGAGUGCGGGAGAGGAAAGUGGAAUUCCUGGUGUAGCGGUGAAAUGCGUAGAUAUCAGGAGGAACACCGGUGGUGUAGACGGCUUUCUGGACCGUAACUGACGCUGAGACACGAAAGCGUGGGUAGCAAACAGGAUUAGAUACCCUAGUAGUCC